AGAGUUUGAUCCUGGCUCAGGACGAACGCUGGCGGCGUGCCUAAUACAUGCAAGUCGAACGAACUCUGGUAUUGAUUGGUGCUUGCAUCAUGAUUUACAUUUGAGUGAGUGGCGAACUGGUGAGUAACACGUGGGAAACCUGCCCAGAAGCGGGGGAUAACACCUGGAAACAGAUGCUAAUACCGCAUAACAACUUGGACCGCAUGGUCCGAGUUUGAAAGAUGGCUUCGGCUAUCACUUUUGGAUGGUCCCGCGGCGUAUUAGCUAGAUGGUGGGGUAACGGCUUCACCAUGGCAAUGAUACGUAGCCGACCUGAGAGGGUAAUCGGCCACAUUGGGACUGAGACACGGCCCAAACUCCUACGGGAGGCAGCAGUAGGGAAUCUUCCACAAUGGACGAAAGUCUGAUGGAGCAACGCCGCGUGAGUGAAGAAGGGUUUCGGCUCGUAAAACUCUGUUGUUAAAGAAGAACAUAUCUGAGAGUAACUGUUCAGGUAUUGACGGUAUUUAACCAGAAAGCCACGGCUAACUACGUGCCAGCAGCCGCGGUAAUACGUAGGUGGCAAGCGUUGUCCGGAUUUAUUGGGCGUAAAGCGAGCGCAGGCGGUUUUUUAAGUCUGAUGUGAAAGCCUUCGGCUCAACCGAAGAAGUGCAUCGGAAACUGGGAAACUUGAGUGCAGAAGAGGACAGUGGAACUCCAUGUGUAGCGGUGAAAUGCGUAGAUAUAUGGAAGAACACCAGUGGCGAAGGCGGCUGUCUGGUCUGUAACUGACGCUGAGGCUCGAAAGUAUGGGUAGCAAACAGGAUUAGAUACCCUGGUAGUCCAUACCGUAAACGAUGAAUGCUAAGUGUUGGAGGGUUUCCGCCCUUCAGUGCUGCAGCUAACGCAUUAAGCAUUCCGCCUGGGGAGUACGGCCGCAAGGCUGAAACUCAAAGGAAUUGACGGGGGCCCGCACAAGCGGUGGAGCAUGUGGUUUAAUUCGAAGCUACGCGAAGAACCUUACCAGGUCUUGACAUACUAUGCAAAUCUAAGAGAUUAGACGUUCCCUUCGGGGACAUGGAUACAGGUGGUGCAUGGUUGUCGUCAGCUCGUGUCGUGAGAUGUUGGGUUAAGUCCCGCAACGAGCGCAACCCUUAUUAUCAGUUGCCAGCAUUAAGUUGGGCACUCUGGUGAGACUGCCGGUGACAAACCGGAGGAAGGUGGGGAUGACGUCAAAUCAUCAUGCCCCUUAUGACCUGGGCUACACACGUGCUACAAUGGAUGGUACAACGAGUUGCGAACUCGCGAGAGUAAGCUAAUCUCUUAAAGCCAUUCUCAGUUCGGAUUGUAGGCUGCAACUCGCCUACAUGAAGUCGGAAUCGCUAGUAAUCGCGGAUCAGCAUGCCGCGGUGAAUACGUUCCCGGGCCUUGUACACACCGCCCGUCACACCAUGAGAGUUUGUAACACCCAAAGUCGGUGGGGUAACCUUUUAGGAACCAGCCGCCUAAGGUGGGACAGAUGAUUAGGGUGAAGUCGUAACAAGGUAACC
This 1529-nucleotide ribosomal RNA is filed under the name Lactiplantibacillus plantarum. RNAcentral describes it as "bacterial SSU rRNA". It matches the Rfam family "Bacterial small subunit ribosomal RNA". Lineage: Bacteria; Bacillati; Bacillota; Bacilli; Lactobacillales; Lactobacillaceae. The record is from RNAcentral. RNAcentral also lists the same sequence under 1 other name.